AGGACAAACGCUGGCGGCGUGCCUAAAACAUGCAAGUCGUACGGUCCUUCGGGACAGUGGCGGACGGCUGAGUAACGCGUGGGCAACCUACCCUGGAGUGGGGAAUAACCAUCCGAAAGGAUGGCUAAUACCGCAUACGACCACAGGCCUCCGGGCCUGUGAGGAAAGUCGCAAGGCGCUCUAGGAUGGGCCCGCGUCCGAUUAGCUAGUUGGUGUGGUAACGGCGCACCAAGGCUGCGAUCGGUAGCUGGUCUGAGAGGAUGAUCAGCCAGACUGGGACUGCGACACGGCCCAGACUCCUACGGGAGGCAGCAGUUAGGAAUCUUGGGCAAUGGGCGAAAGCCUGACCCAGCAACGCCGCGUGGGUGACGAAGGCCUUCGGGUCGUAAAGCCCUUUUGCACGGGAAGAUGAUGACGGUACCGUGCGAAUAAGCCCGGCUAACUACGUGCCAGCAGCCGC
This 460-nucleotide ribosomal RNA is filed under the name uncultured bacterium. RNAcentral's name for it is "SSU rRNA". It matches the Rfam family "Bacterial small subunit ribosomal RNA", at positions 26 to 518 of the family's 1533-position model. The record is from RNAcentral.